This 407-nucleotide ribosomal RNA is filed under the name uncultured bacterium. RNAcentral's name for it is "partial 16S ribosomal RNA". It matches the Rfam family "Bacterial small subunit ribosomal RNA", at positions 30 to 526 of the family's 1533-position model. The record is from RNAcentral.
AUUGAACGCUGGCGGCAGGCCUAACACAUGCAAGUCGAGCGGAGCGGCGGACGGGUGAGUAAUGCAUAGGUAUCUGACUGGUAGUGAGGGAUAGCGUCAGGUAACGGGAGCGAAUACCAAAUACUAUCAGAUGAGCCUAGGUCGGAUUAGCUAGUUGGUGGGGUAAAGGCUUAACAAGGCGACGAUCCGUAACUGGUCUGAGAGGGUGACCAGUCACACUGGAACUGAGACACGGUCCAUACUCCUACGGGAGGCAGCAGUGGGGAAUAUUGGACAAUGGGCGAAAGCCUGAUCCAGCCAUGCCGCGUGUGUGAAGAAGGUCUUCGGAUUGUAAAGCACUUUAAGUUGGGAAGCGUUACCAACAGAAUAAGCCCCGGCUAACUUCGUGCCAGCAGCCGCGGUAAUUC